Molecule: ribosomal RNA, 301 nt
Filed under: uncultured bacterium
Lineage: Bacteria
Description: partial 16S ribosomal RNA
Rfam family: Bacterial small subunit ribosomal RNA
Source: RNAcentral
CAGUAGCCGCGGGAACACGAAGGGGGCUAGCGUUGUCCGGAAUUACUGGGCGUAAAGCGCACGUAGGCGGAUUGUUAAGUUAGGGGUGAAAUCCCAGGGCUCAACCCUGGAACUGCCUUUAAUACUGGCAAUCUCGAGUCCGAGAGAGGUGAGUGGAAUUCCGAGUGUAGAGGUGAAAUUCGUAGAUAUUCGGAGGAACACCAGUGGCGAAGGCGGCUCACUGGCUCGGUACUGACGCUGAGGUGCGAAAGCGUGGGGAGCAAACAGGAUUAGAUACCCGAGUAGUCCCUGUCUCUUAUAC